UUAAGCUAAGAAGAGCGUAGGGAGAAUGCCUUGGCAUUAGGAGCCGACGAAGGACGUGAUAAGCUGCGAUAAGCUGCGGGGAUCAGCAAGUAUGAAUUGAUCCGCAGAUUUCCGAAUGGAGCAAUCCGUAUGUGUAUGCACAUACAUCAUAUACUGAAUCAAAUAGGUAUAUGAGGGGAACCGCCUGAACUGAAACAUCUAAGUAGGGCGAGGAAGAGAAAUCAACCGAGAUUCUGUGAGUAGUGGCGAGCGAAAGCGGAAGAGGCUAAACCAUAGGUAGCAAUACUUAUGGGGUUUCGGACAGCAUUUAGUAUUGAUAAUUUCUAGUUGAAACGUGUGGGAAAACGUACCGAAGAGUGUGAGAGUCACGUAAGCGAAAGAGAAAGUCAGCGAGCUGUAUCCAAAGUACCGCGGGACACGUGAAACCCCGUGGGAAGAUGGGGGGACCAUCCUCCAAGCCUAAAUACUACCUAAUGACCGAUAGCGAAUAGUACUGUGAAGGAACGGUGAAAAGAACCCCGGGAGGGGAGUGAAAAAGAACCUGAAACCCUAUGCUUACAAGCACCGAGAGCACGUCAAAGUGUGAUCGGGUACCUUUUGUAGAAUGGUCCGGCGAGUUAUUGUAUGCGGCAAGGUUAAGUGCUUAAGGCACGGAGCCGAAGCGAGAGCAAGUCUGAAUAGGGCGAAAAAGUCGUAUGCAAUAGACCCGAAACCGAGUGACCUAUCCAUGUCCAGGCUGAAGUGGAGGUAAAACUCCAUGGAGGGCCGAACACACGUCCGUUGAAAAGGCCGGUGAUGAGGUGUGGAUAGCGGAGAAAUUCCAAUCGAACUCGGAUAUAGCUGGUUCUCUCCGAAAUAGCUUUAGGGCUAGCCUCGUGAAAGAUUACUGGAGGUAAAGCACUGAAUGGGCUAGGGGUCGAAAGAUUACUGAACCCUAUCAAACUAAGAAUGCCAGAUAAUUGAUUCACGGGAGUCAGACAAUGUGAGAUAAGUCUCAUUGUCAAAAGGGAAACAGCCCAGACCCACAGCUAAGGUCCCUAAACAUUGUUAAGUGGAAAAGGAUGUGGGGUUGCAUAAACAACCAGGAUGUUGGCUUAGAAGCAGCCACUCAUUAAAAGAGUGCGUAAUAGCUCACUGGUCGAGUGACCCUGCGCCGAAAAUUCAACGGGGCUAAACAAUGUACCGAAGCUUGGGAUUCUAGAUUUAUCUAGAGUGGUAGGAGAGCGUCGAAUAAGGGGUGAAGUCAGAGCGGAAGCGCUGGUGGACUUUAUUCGAGUGAGAAUGCCGGAAUGAGUAGCGAGAAUUAUGUGAGAAUCAUAAUGGCCGAAAAUCUAAGGUUUCCUGAGGAAGGUUCGUCCGCUCAGGGUAAGCCGGGGGCUAAGGCGAGGCGGAGACGCGUAGCCGAUGCACAUACGGUUGAAAUUCCGUAGCCACCGAAAGAUUUAAGUACAGGGACGCUUUAGAAGUGAUGUUGCCGGGCGAUGGUUGACCCGGUCGUAAGGGAUCGAAAAUGAGUAGAGAAGUCAUCAUGGAAAGAGACAAGAAAAGCUGUAUGAAUAUCUUAGGUGCCCGUACCGCAAACCGACACAGGUAGAUAGGAAGAAGAUUCUAAGGCCAACGGGAGAAGGGUUGUUAAGGAACUCGGCAAGUUGACCCCGUAACUUAGGGAUAAGGGGUGCUCAAGUGAUUGAGCCGCAGAGAAUAGGCCCAGGCGACUGUUUAGCAAAAACACAGGUCUCUGCUAAAUCGAAAGAUGACGUAUAGGGGCUGACACCUGCCCGGUGCCGGAAGGUUAAGAGGAGAUGUGAGAGCAUUGAAUUGAAGCCCCGGUAAACGGCGGCCGUAACUAUAACGGUCCUAAGGUAGCGAAAUUCCUUGUCAGGUAAGUUCUGACCCGCACGAAAGGUGUAACGAUCUGGGCACUGUCUCAACAACCCGCCCGGCGAAAUUGUAGUACCGGUGAAGAUGCCGGUU
Molecule: ribosomal RNA, 1974 nt
Filed under: gut metagenome
Description: bacterial LSU rRNA
Rfam family: Bacterial large subunit ribosomal RNA
Source: RNAcentral